CCUACGGGAGGCAGCAGUGGGGAAUUUUAGACAAUGGGCGCAAGCCUGAUCCAGCAAUGCCGCGUGAGUGAAGAAGGCCUUCGGGUUGUAAAGCUCUUUUGUCAGGGAAGAAACGGCUGAGGUUAAUACCUUUGGCUAAUGACGGUACCUGAAGAAUAAGCACCGGCUAACUACGUGCCAGCAGCCGCGGUAAUACGUAGGGUGCAAGCGUUAAUCGGAAUUACUGGGCGUAAAGCGUGCGCAGGCGGUUUUGUAAGUCUGACGUGAAAUCCCCGGGCUCAACCUGGGAAUUGCGUUGGAGACUGCAAGGCUGGAGUCUGGCAGAGGGGGGUAGAAUUCCACGUGUAGCAGUGAAAUGCGUAGAGAUGUGGAGGAACACCGAUGGCGAAGGCAGCCCCCUGGGUCAAGACUGACGCUCAUGCACGAAAGCGUGGGGAGCAAACAGGAUUAGAUACCCUGGUAGUCCACGCCCUAAACGAUGUCUACUAGUUGUCGGGUCUUAAUUGACUUGGUAACCGCAGCUACGCGUGAGUAGACGCCGNGGGAGGUACGGUCGUCGAGAGUUAAACGUUACGUAAGAAGUUAGAGNGNGNGAGNGCGAGGCGACGACGAGGAGAGG
RNAcentral lists this ribosomal RNA (619 nucleotides) under uncultured bacterium. Its description in RNAcentral is "bacterial SSU rRNA". The stretch from base 1 to 540 matches the Rfam family "Bacterial small subunit ribosomal RNA", at positions 338 to 873 of the family's 1533-position model. The record is from RNAcentral.